GAUGAACGCUAGCGGGAGGCUUAACACAUGCAAGUCGAGGGGCAGCAUAGGGUAGCAAUACUCUGAUGGCGACCGGCAAACGGGUGAGUAACGCGUAUGCAACCUACCCUGUACAGGGGGAUAACCCGGAGAAAUUCGGACUAAUAUCCCGUAAUAAUAUCCGGAGGCAUCUUUGGAUAUUUAAAGUUCCGACGGUACGGGAUGGGCAUGCGUAACAUUAACUGGUUGGUAAGGUAACGGCUUACCAAGGCUAUGAUGUUUAGGGGUCCUGAGAGGGUGGUCCCCCACACUGGUACUGAGACACGGACCAGACUCCUACGGGAGGCAGCAGUGAGGAAUAUUGGUCAAUGGGCGCAAGCCUGAACCAGCCAUCCCGCGUGCAGGAAGACGGCCCUAUGGGUUGUAAACUGCUUUUCCAGGGAGAGAAACUUACGCACGUGUUGCGUGACUGACGGUACCCUGGGAAUAAGCAUCGGCUAACUCCGUGCCAGCAGCCGCCGGUAAUAGUGUGUGUAC
This 516-nucleotide ribosomal RNA is filed under the name uncultured bacterium. RNAcentral describes it as "bacterial SSU rRNA". It matches the Rfam family "Bacterial small subunit ribosomal RNA", at positions 28 to 535 of the family's 1533-position model. The record is from RNAcentral.